This 486-nucleotide ribosomal RNA is filed under the name uncultured bacterium. RNAcentral describes it as "partial 16S ribosomal RNA". It matches the Rfam family "Bacterial small subunit ribosomal RNA", at positions 28 to 507 of the family's 1533-position model. The record is from RNAcentral.
GAUGAACGCUAGCGAUAGGCUUAACACAUGCAAGUCGAGGGGCAGCACAAGGUAGCUUGCUAUCUGGGUGGCGACCGGCGCACGUGUGCGUAACGCGUAUGCAACUUGCCCUAUACAGGAGGAUAACCCGUCGAAAGACGGACUAAUACUGCGUAUGCUCACAACUUGGCAUCAAGUGGUGAGGAAAGAAAUUCGGUAUAGGAUAGGCAUGCGUCCCAUUAGCUUGUUGGUGAGGUAACGGCUCACCAAGGCAACGAUGGGUAGGGGAACUGAGAGGUUUAUCCCCCACACUGGUACUGAGACACGGACCAGACUCCUACGGGAGGCAGCAGUGAGGAAUAUUGGUCAAUGGGCGCGAGCCUGAACCAGCCAAGUCGCGUGAAGGAUGACUGUCUUAUGGAUUGUAAUCUUCUUUAUACGGGAAUAACAAGAGUCACGUGUGACUCCCUGAAUGUACCGUAUGAAUAAGCAUCGGCUAACUCCGUG